UCACCCACUCCCCCCUCCCCCAGAUCCAUCCUCCUCUCCCGCAACCCCAAACCCGGCCCCGCCGCCGAUCUCCACUCCCACAAACCCAGCCCCAGCCCCGCCGGCGACCUCCUCCCCCACUCCUCGACUGCCCUGGCGACAUCUUGUACUUCAUACCCGCCGGCGACCUCCGCCUUCCACCCCACCCUCUCCUUCUCUCCACGCCGAAACCCUAGAUCGCCGCCAUGGCCACCUCUCUCCAGCAUCCCCUCUCUCUCUCCCGUCGGCGACCACAACCAUGGCCUCCACCUCCCCUUCCCUCCCUGGCUGGAGAUCCACUCAAUUCCUCUCCCUCCCCCGAUUCCUCCCCAAUCCCGCCGCUGGCCGACUACCACCCCCACCGGCGACCUCCCUCCCUCCCUCCUGAGAUGUACGGAUGUGGCGAGGCAGAUUGCCGGAUCCCCGCCGCGCCGGACCUGUGAGAUCCAGCUCCUUGCCGAUCCCAUGGCCUCCACGGCGGCGUGAGUCCUCCUCCUCGUUCGCGUUGUCACCUCCUCCCUCGCGGGGCGCACGGACGCCCUUCGGUCACUGGGCGUCGGCGACGAGGCGUGGGCCGGGGCCACCGCGCAGGGGGACGACGCCGUGGACCUCAACCCCACCAGCUUGGACGCCUUCCUCACGGCCUCGCGGGAGCAGUUCACCGUCGUCGAGUUCUUCGCCCACUGGUUAGUCGCUCUCCGGCUUGAUUCGCCCACCGGGACCAUUUGACGGAAGCGUCCAAGUCGAGCCAGGGGAACGAGCCUAACUGGUUGGUGUCUCCACAUGUCGGCUGGUGCCCGUGGUGGAUGCAGACAAAUGGAAGGACUCGUAUGCAACCCAGCAUGCUGGGUAUCUUCUAAUACGUUUCAUGAUCAUUCAGAGUUCAGAGGUUCUUGUUCUUCCUCGACCUCCAUGGGGCGCGCGAGCCGGCAGCCGGCCAUCUCCAGUGAGCCCGACCACGGCGACUGAUGCCGAAGGCCGCGGGUGAUGCCAAGCUACUGAUCCAGUCCCUCACCAAGGCCUACGCCACCACACUGAUGAACCUCAAGGCAAUUUUCGUUUUCUUUCCCUAGCAGUAUGUUUUUCGUCUGCCACUCGUGACUGCCGGGUUAAUGAUGUACUUCUCGUGCCCCACCAAGUACAGCAGCAUCAGGUUAAUUUGUAGAAGUGAGGUUACUCGAUUUUUUUCUAUGCCAUGGUACAAUUAUGAUUCGAAUUGUAGCCAGUUAACACGAGCUUGUUUGGCCCAAUAUUAGAAAUGUUUUUAUAAUAUUUUACCA
Triticum urartu is the source of this 1298-nucleotide long non-coding RNA. RefSeq lists it as uncharacterized. Lineage: Eukaryota; Viridiplantae; Streptophyta; Magnoliopsida; Poales; Poaceae. The record is from RefSeq and is a predicted model, not a curated record.